This 497-nucleotide ribosomal RNA is filed under the name uncultured bacterium. RNAcentral describes it as "partial 16S ribosomal RNA". It matches the Rfam family "Bacterial small subunit ribosomal RNA", at positions 28 to 507 of the family's 1533-position model. The record is from RNAcentral.
GAUGAACGCUGGCGGCGUGCCUAAUACAUGCAAGUCGAGCGAACAGACGAUGAGCUUGCUCCUCUGACGUUAGCGGCGGACGGGUGAGUAACACGUGGAUAACCUACCUAUAAGACUGGGAUAACUUCGGGAAACCGGAGCUAAUACCGGAGAAUAUAUUGAACCGCAUGGUUCAAUAGUGAAAGACGGUUUUGCUGUCACUUAUAGAUGGAUCCGCGCCGCAUUAGCUAGUUGGUAAGGUAACGGCUUACCAAGGCAACGAUGCGUAGCCGACCUGAGAGGGUGAUAGGCCACACUGGAAUGGGACACGGCCCAAACGCCCACGGGAGGCAGCAGUAGGGCAUCUUCGGCCAUGGACGAAAGUCAGACCGCGCAAGGCGGCGUGAGUGAAGAAGGUCUCCGGGUCGUAAAACUCUGUUGGUGGAGAAGAACGUUGGUGAGCGUGGAACGCUCAUCAAGUGACGGUAACUACCCAGAAAGGGACGGCUAACUACGUG